RNAcentral lists this ribosomal RNA (536 nucleotides) under Chlosyne janais (Janais patch butterfly). Its description in RNAcentral is "partial 16S ribosomal RNA". The stretch from base 399 to 536 matches the Rfam family "Bacterial large subunit ribosomal RNA", at positions 2473 to 2611 of the family's 2925-position model. The record is from RNAcentral. Lineage: Eukaryota; Metazoa; Arthropoda; Insecta; Lepidoptera; Nymphalidae.
UCAAAAACAUGUCUUUUUGAUAAUAAUUUAAAGUCUAAUCUGCCCACUGAUAUAAUUAUUAAAGGGCUGCAGUAUAUUGACUGUACAAAGGUAGCAUAAUCAUUAGUCUUUUAAUUGAAGACUUGUAUGAAAGAUUUGAUGAGAUAUAAACUGUCUCUAUUUUAAGAAUAAAAUUUAAUUUUUUAGUUAAAAAGCUAAAAUGUAGUUAAAAGACGAGAAGACCCUAUAAAGUUUUAUAUUUUAUUUAUUUAUUAUUAAAUAUAAAAUUAAAUAUAAUAUUUAAAUAAAAUAUUUUAUUGGGGUGAUAGAAAAAUUUAAUAAACUUUUUUUUAAAUAUAUACAUAUAUAAGUGAAAUAAUGAUCCAUUAUUAAUGAUUAAAAGAAAAAAUUACUUUAGGGAUAACAGCGUAAUAUUUUUUUUUAGUACAAAUAAAAAGGAAAGUUUGCGACCUCGAUGUUGGAUUAAGAUAAAAUUUAAAUGCAAAAGUUUAAAAUUUUGAUCUGUUCGAUCAUUAAAAUCUUACAUGAUCUUAGCU